RNAcentral lists this long non-coding RNA (775 nucleotides) under Mytilus galloprovincialis (Mediterranean mussel). Lineage: Eukaryota; Metazoa; Mollusca; Bivalvia; Mytilida; Mytilidae. The record is from RNAcentral.
UUUCUUAGGCCACAAUUAAAAGAAUGUAUGUUUCCCCAAACCCCUACCCACAUUUUUGUAGGUGGGUAGGUAGGUAGGGUUUUUUUUUUUUUUUAUAUCUUGAUAUUUUUUUUAAUAUCCAACAGAGCAAAACAAAUCGAUUAUGUGUAUGUCUGGCAUAUAUAGCCAUCUGUAGCAACUUAAAUGUACGUGUUAAAUUGUCUAAAUGUUUGUAGCUCUCUUUUUCAGGUGUCAACUUGACAUUAAUUUUAUUUGAUUUUAUUUGGAUUUGUAUCUCAGAAUUGUUCAUGACUGGGAUUUUUUUCCCUCUUUGACAGUGACUACUAAGUAGCAAACUGUUUUAAAUAUAUAUAUGCAUGUACUGUAGUUGUUCAACCUGAAGAAUGUUCCAUCAAACAAUUUACCCUCUGACAGCUCAGGACUCAGAUUUUGCUUCUGACAUUGAGGAAAUCACCAAUAUUAAUAAAAUUAUUAGAAUGAACUUUAUUUGAGCUAAAAGAUAACAAACUAAACUAAUAUGCAUAUAGUCUCAAUAGAUACAAAGUGAUUUUUAAGUCCUGAGUAAUGAGGGGGUAGAUUCUUUGCUGGAAUAGCCUUGACACUUAUUUAUCAAUACAUCAGACAGAUUUUAAUGCUUUAAUGAAUUUUGAAUUAAACAAAUGACUAGAUUGAAAACAAAUUAAUAGAAAUAAAACAAAUGUCGGACAGAACUUCAAACAAUGAAUCAAUAAAACAGCAGAAAAACUGUUGCGGUUCUGGGUGUCAGAGUCUCUUC